Molecule: non-coding RNA, 48 nt
Filed under: Trichobilharzia regenti
Lineage: Eukaryota; Metazoa; Platyhelminthes; Trematoda; Strigeidida; Schistosomatidae
Source: RNAcentral
GUACUGAUGAAGAGUCCCAAAAAGUAGGACGAAACAACUGUCCAGUAU